RNAcentral lists this long non-coding RNA (752 nucleotides) under Sinocyclocheilus grahami. RNAcentral's name for it is "lncRNA (ENSSGRG00000005174.1)". The record is from RNAcentral. Lineage: Eukaryota; Metazoa; Chordata; Actinopteri; Cypriniformes; Cyprinidae.
AUUAAAUGUUACUGACCUCAAACUUGUAGUUUAUCAGUUUAAUCUCAAAGUGGUUAAUUGUUUGAUCACUGCAUUGAUCUGUGUCUGUAGAGAGUGUUUCUGUGAAGGAGGAUGGAGGCGUUUCUCCCGAUCUGGAGCACCUCCUGCUGUCUGGUGAUCUGUACUGCAGAGUGUUUUCCUCUCACGCUCUGUCCGGCGUCACAGCGCCACCUAGAGACCUGGGCUCUCUGCUGCAGCUCCUCAGCCGGUACGACCUGAUCCCGCUCCACACGGAGCAGCAGAAGCCGGUCGAUGAGACGCAGCUGAGCCAGAAACCCAUUAACAUGGGGGCCCAUCUGGCCGUGAUUGAUUCUCUGAUGUCACUGAGUGCAAUGGAAACCGUGGGUCAGGUUAAGAUGACGAAGGAGACGGAUCAGUUUGGGUCCAGCAGGAGCUGGGAGAACUCACUGCUCUUCUGGAUCAACAAGGUGAAUCAGAAGUUGCGAGAAAGCACUAAUGUUGAGGAUAAUCCGAAGCCAAACCCCUGCACGGACCUGCAGCCGGCUCAGCCAUCUUGCCCACAGCGCUGGUACUGGAAACUGGUCCCAGUGAGUAUUACAGCUAAAAACACACACAUCAGCCCGAGUCUCAGUUACUGACGGGACUCACUGGCUUCUCAUGAUUAAUAAGACGUCCUCAUUGCAUAUGUGAUCGUGUAUGACACGGAUCAUGGAUACAAACCAGAGUUUGAGCCAUUUGCCCACGUCCCCGAC